Formica exsecta is the source of this 857-nucleotide long non-coding RNA. RefSeq lists it as uncharacterized. The transcript has 2 exons. NCBI's taxonomy places the organism in Eukaryota, Metazoa, Arthropoda, Insecta, Hymenoptera, Formicidae. The record is from RefSeq and is a predicted model, not a curated record.
UGAUAGAUCCGAUACACUCAUCUUCUUCUCUAAAUUUACAGAAAGAAAGAUCUCGCAUCGAAUGGUUCGAUUAUUUAAAAUAUACAUUAUCAUUACAUAUACAUAUUAAAUUUAAUUGUCAUGUGGAUCUGUCAUUUAAUCAUCACGAUUGGAGAUGUAACUAAUAAUCUAAUUUUCGGCCUCUGUUUCGUUAAGGGUGGAUAUAGACGUCCCUUUCCCCUCCCUUUUGUUAAGGAUCUCAUCAACGACUAUUAAAAUUUUUGCAGAAACUUAUAAACGUGCUCGACGACGAAGGCGAGAAGAUUCAUCAAAGUAAUAGCUUCAAGAGGAUCAUGUACAGUGUGCUGGGACAGACCGAUUAUUAAAAGCCGAACUGACGCUAUAAAUGUACUACCAUUUAUUUAUGUUAAAUAAAUCCAUAUUUUAUUUAUUGUACUACGCAAUAAACGAAUUACGCGUGAGAACGAAUGUCGAAUAAAAUCUCUUUUAACUGAGAUUGCGCGUGUUUAGCAAUUGGAUUAUAUUUUUUAGAGAAGCGAGCUUAUUAAGUGCAUAUACGUUAAAGUCUAUAAAAGCGCUAAUUGAUGAAUUGCACUCGACAUUCAUUGCUUGCCGGAUAAAACAAUGCCAUGUAUUUUUAAGCGUAGUAAUAAUAGUUAUCUUAAAACACGUCGUUAGUACGCGGGGCUUGCAAUCUUACAUAUUUUACUCGAGAUUAAUAUUUUUUUUUUGCUAGCCUGCACUAAGAUAGCUUACUCUCUCCUCUCUGCAUCUCGAUGUAUCUAUUUUUUGACGAUCUAUUUACACACUGUAUUAUACUUUUAACGUUAUGCACAAUGAAAAAUUAAUUUUCACAA